UGCUCUGUCAAAGCAGAGACGGUGAACCGGUGAAGUCUUAUUUCUAUAAAGAUGGGGACAUGAUUGGAUCUGAUCCUAAAGAAAAUUUGACUCUCACUAAUGUUCAGAAGUCUGAUGAAGGUCUCUACUCGUGCUCCACUGAGGAUCAUCCACAUACUCAUGAAAGCAGGCUGACAGUCAGAGAUCCUCCUACUGUAAAACCUACCACUACUACUACUACUACUACCACUACUACUACUACUACUACUACUACUACUACAACAACCACAACCACUCGUCGUCGCUCUUCUGGCCCUCCUCUCACAGCCUCCAUCAUGUCAGGUCUGGUUUCUGUGGUUCUCCUGGUUCUGGUUUGAGUUCUGCUCCUUUGGAGGAAGCUAAAAGAGGAAAGUGAGGACGCACUCUGCCUUAUGGAGGACCUUCAUCCUACUGUCUCAUCAUUGCCCCCCCCCCCCGAAGCUCCAGUAACCAGUAUAAAAGGGGGUGUGUCUUCAGAGUGUCAGCUUUGCUGUUGUAUCUUUACUGCUGGGCCUGGGAUUUUACAUGUUUUGUCUUAUUAUGCAGCACUUUGUGGUUGUUUUUAAAAGUGCUUUUAACCCUUCAAGACCUACCAUUGAACCAAUUCUGCCAGAGCUUUUCUUUAUAUUUUUACAUGCUGCCAUUUUGGGGAGCAUUUCAAGUUACUGUACACCAAUACAAC
Maylandia zebra (zebra mbuna) is the source of this 700-nucleotide non-coding RNA. Lineage: Eukaryota; Metazoa; Chordata; Actinopteri; Cichliformes; Cichlidae. The record is from RefSeq and is a predicted model, not a curated record.